Molecule: long non-coding RNA, 437 nt
Filed under: Mytilus galloprovincialis (Mediterranean mussel)
Lineage: Eukaryota; Metazoa; Mollusca; Bivalvia; Mytilida; Mytilidae
Source: RNAcentral
UCUAAUUUAAAUGCCAAAUUAGAGUUUUGACCCCAAUUUUACGGUUCACUGAACAUAGAAAAUGAUAGUGCAAAUUUCAGGUUAAAGUUUUUGGCUUCAGGUUAAAGUUUUUGGUCAAGGUAGUUUUUGAUGAAGUUGAAGUCCAAUCAACUUGAAACUUAGUAUACAUGUGCCCUAUGAUAUGAUCUUUCUAAUUUAAAUGCCAAAUUAGAGUUUUGACCCCAAUUUUACGGUUCACUGAACAUAGAAAAUGAUAGUGCAAAUUUCAGGUUAAAGUUUUUGGUCAAGGUAGUUUUUGAUAAAGUAGAAGUCCAAUCAACUUGAAACUUAGUAUACAUGUUCCUUUGAUAAGAUCAUUCUAAUUUUAAUGCCAAAUUAGAGAAUUUAUUCCAAUUUCACAGUCCUUUAAACAUAGAAAAUGAUAGUGUGAGUGGGGC